This 478-nucleotide ribosomal RNA is filed under the name Escherichia coli. RNAcentral's name for it is "partial 23S ribosomal RNA". It matches the Rfam family "Bacterial large subunit ribosomal RNA", at positions 1305 to 1778 of the family's 2925-position model. Lineage: Bacteria; Pseudomonadati; Pseudomonadota; Gammaproteobacteria; Enterobacterales; Enterobacteriaceae. The record is from RNAcentral.
AGUAACGAUAAAGCGGGUGAAAAGCCCGCUCGCCGGAAGACCAAGGGUUCCUGUCCAACGUUAAUCGGGGCAGGGUGAGUCGACCCCUAAGGCGAGGCCGAAAGGCGUAGUCGAUGGGAAACAGGUUAAUAUUCCUGUACUUGGUGUUACUGCGAAGGGGGGACGGAGAAGGCUAUGUUGGCCGGGCGACGGUUGUCCCGGUUUAAGCGUGUAGGCUGGUUUUCCAGGCAAAUCCGGAAAAUCAAGGCUGAGGCGUGAUGACGAGGCACUACGGUGCUGAAGCAACAAAUGCCCUGCUUCCAGGAAAAGCCUCUAAGCAUCAGGUAACAUCAAAUCGUACCCCAAACCGACACAGGUGGUCAGGUAGAGAAUACCAAGGCGCUUGAGAGAACUCGGGUGAAGGAACUAGGCAAAAUGGUGCCGUAACUUCGGGAGAAGGCACGCUGAUAUGUAGGUGAAGUCCCUCGCGGAUGGAGCU